RNAcentral lists this transfer RNA (73 nucleotides) under Salmo salar (Atlantic salmon). It matches the Rfam family "tRNA". Rfam says of the family: Transfer RNA (tRNA) molecules are approximately 80 nucleotides in length. Their secondary structure includes four short double-helical elements and three loops (D, anti-codon, and T loops). The record is from Rfam by way of RNAcentral. RNAcentral also lists the same sequence under 1 other name. Lineage: Eukaryota; Metazoa; Chordata; Actinopteri; Salmoniformes; Salmonidae.
GUCCCUGUGGCUCAGUUGGUAGAGCAUGGUGUUUGCAACGCCAGGGUUGUGGGUUCGAUUCCCACGGGGGGCC